RNAcentral lists this ribosomal RNA (465 nucleotides) under uncultured bacterium. RNAcentral describes it as "partial 16S ribosomal RNA". It matches the Rfam family "Bacterial small subunit ribosomal RNA", at positions 338 to 795 of the family's 1533-position model. The record is from RNAcentral.
CCUACGGGAGGCAGCAGUAAGGAAUCUUCCACAAUGGGCGCGAGCCUGAUGCAGCAAAGCCGCGUGGGUGAAGAAGGUCCUCGGAUCUGUAAACCUCGUUUUUAGAGAAGUAAGUGCGGGAGAGUAACUGUUCACGUUUCGACGUUAUCUAACCAGAACUCCUCGGUUAAAGACGUGCCCGCCGCCGCGGUAAUACGGAGGUGGCUAGCGUUAUCCGGAUUUAUUGGGCGUAAAGGGAACGCAGGCGGUCUUUUAAGUCUGAUGUGAAAGCUUUCGGCUUAACCGGAGUAGUGCAUUUGAAACUGGGAGACUUGAGUGCAGAAGAGGUGAGUGGAACUCGAUGUGUAGCGGUGAAAUGCGUAGAUAUAUCGAAGAACACCAGUGGCGAAAGCGGCUCUCUGGUCUGCAACUGACGCUGAGGUUCGAAAGCGUGGGUAGCAAACAGGAUUAGAUACCCUAGUAGUC